AGGUUUUUCUCCUGCGCUGGGAUGGCACCGAAACCACAGUGCAUUCGGGGUUGCUACAUCCUAGUUGGCUUCUCUUUUUUAAUGCUAAUAAUAUUGAUUUUGGGUACAGUGGAUCUCAGGCAAGGGAAACUCCAGUAAACGAAAGCUGACUAUAGCCAAACGUGGCUGAUGUUUCUUUUUUCCUCAGGGUUGGCAGGCCCUGCCUGCCUUUCCAUCUGCCCAGUGCUGGCCUUGAACACCCGGAGUGGCUUCUCUGCACGCUCUCCUGUGGGCUGCCUUCCUGCCUUGGUGCUGGCGCCCAGAGCUUGAGACCCAUUUCUGUCUGCAAGAGGACUGUGGUCUUUGCCCUUGCUCCGCUGAGCUCUGGCUGCCACCUGCAUCCAGCAUGCGUUCCCAGCACCCCCCGUCCCGGCUCCAGGCCGAGUUCAUCUGGGGCCUGCUACCAGGGUGACGAGGACCCCACGGAAUGCUCAGACCGGGCCCCGGCACAUCACAAAUGCUGCAGAAGUGAGUUGUCAUCCACAUCAUCAGAGGCCAUGACUCUGCAUCACUCAGAGCAAGGGUGGAGCCUUCCCGGCAAGGAUUCGACUCUGUUCCAGGAAGAAGAGAGGCAAUGAGCAAAAAGACCACAGCAGGCAUGUCGUAGAGGAGGAAACGGAGUGCACAGAUGAACACGGGAAAAGCUGCCCGAUGUCACGAGGAUGCAGGGAAGUGCAAGGUAAGGUCCCCGUGAGAGAUUUCACAUCCAUCAGGCUCACAGUGAGGAAGACAUGUGACAUCUGACAGCACCGAGGGUCUGAAAGGAUGGAGAUCAGCUGGCACCCACGGUUGAUGAGUGUGAAACCUGGUCUGGCCACACUGAAAACCGCUUUGGCCUUUUCUUGUUAGGUUGACCAGUCCCAUGCCUUAGCACCCUGCAAAUCCACUCCCAGGAGCCACACAAGGCACACCCAAGAAGAGUUCGUCGCAGCACUGUUAGCAAGAGGAGGGAGAGAGAGGAAAUGACCCAGAUACUCCCUGACAGAGCAAUGCAAAAAGAAAUUGUAGCACGGUCACACAAUUUCUUUCCACACUGGUGACAGCAAACUCCAGCUACACAGCAGCACGGCUCAAGCUCAGAGAGAGGGAAAUGUUGAGUACAAAAAUGCAAAUUUUAGAGAUCUACGUACAGAGAGGAAGUUUUUAGAGCUUGAGAACGAAGAAGCAAUCUAAUGUUUAGGCUUAUUCAGUCGGCCUGUGAGCAAGAGAAUGGCAAACAAACAAACACCAAAUUGCAGAGAGGGGUGACCUGCAGGCAAGGAGGAGAUGGAAGUGACUGGGAAUGUUCUAGUUCUGGAGUUGAGCUGUGGGCCCACGGAUGUUCAUUGUCCCACCAUCCUUCAGAAUGCACGAAACACACGAAGUAUUAAAACAGAACAGAGGCAAAGGGGAAAAACAAGAAGAGAAACAUGGUGUGGGUCCAGACACAUCCAGUAUGAUUUCCUUGUCACACACAUAGUUGACUGUUUUCACGUGGUGUCACGGGGGGUCCCAAGAGUUCCGUCGAGAGGCCAGAGCGGGAAGUGAAAGGACAGGCAAUUGGACGAGGGCAUUCUUCCCUCUGGGCCUCGUUUCUUCAUAUGCAAAAUGAGGGGGUGUACCAGGAGUGCCAAAUGGCUGGCGUGCAUAACCCAGGCCUCCCCUUCCUGACCCGCUGCGGACACUACUCGUGCAUUGCAGCACUGUUUCACAUGGAGCACAGACACGCAGCGUUGGGCUCUGCAGCUGGGCCCUGCAGGCUGCCGGGAAUGCCAGUCUGAGAGGGCACACUAAGUGAUACCUACGUGCUGAUCUGGAGAGACCCAGAUCCCUCCAGCUGUGGCCUGGAAGGUUCUGAUGCCUCACCAGCAGGCACUAGCUAGUCUGAGAGGCAGGGGCCCUAGGGAGGAGCCGACUGGCUUUGGUACUGACCCUAGCCGGACCCUGGCAGCGUGCAGCCUCAGCGUCUACACUGCCCACGCCUGUGGCCUCCGGUCCGCCGCGGGGGGGCCCCUGGCCCCCCCAUCAUCUGACCAGAGCCCGUGCUCCCAUCCGUCGGGUGGGCAGGCUCAUGUCUACGCUCUGCGGGUGAGCUCUGCUGGACCUGAAAACGGCAAGAUGGGCGGAGGGCCAGGCAGGAGCUCAGCUUCACCCUCUAGCCCAGAGAGCCAUGGAAGCGGCCCCGUUGUGCCAGAUUCAACCAGCUCUCCGAGGCAGGAGGAUGGCGUUCCUUUCACCACCGCCUAGGUCUGCCUGGGCCUGCAGGCCUUUGCUCCUCUGCUCCCCUCGCUACCUGCCCCCCUGCCCCCGCCUGUCCCCUCUUCCUCCCCUUAUGGUCCCAGCUCACAAGACUCCUCCUUGGUUGUGCUAUUCCAUCUACCUCCCACCCCCCAUCCCCCCAGUGAGCGCUGACGUGCCUUCCUCUAGACAACCACCACACAGAGGUCAGCUUUCCCGAGGAGAGCUUGUGUGCUGGGUCUGGUCCAGUUUCUGUGGGUGUCUGUCCCCUCCAGUAUGGGGAGCCCAGCAGGGGCCACCUCACACCCGCAUGAAGAUAAUACCAUCAAACAGCCACAAUUCCUUGGAAUCAAUGGGCUUCUCCGAGAACUGUCCACCUACUGCCUAAGCCGCACAGCCAGUGAGGUUGGCAGUCGGGGAAUGGUACCUCCCUCCCUAUUCCAACAGCGAGAAACUCAAGGGCCACAGAGGGGGGUGACUUUUCCAGCAUCACUGCCCACCCUCCAACCUUCUGGGAGGCUGAGAAGCUUUUCUGUCAUGUCCCAUCAGGGCCCUCAAACCCCAGGAAACACCUCACUUCCCCAGAGCAGGGGCCUGAUGAGUGACCACAGCCCCUAAUCAUGGAGCAUCUGGUUUCAUCCUGGUCCCUGUGGAUUCUUUUAACAACAAGAUCACGCGGAGAGACAUCAUACCCAGGGACGUGAUGCUUCGGCGAUUCGUCUCUCUUUCAUUUUGUUCACCUGAUACACGUUUUAAAUGACUACGGGGCUGUGUACACAGGAAGCCUUGAUUCACUAGAAAGAACCGUGGCGGGUUUUCUUAGAAGAAGACAAAGUCAGGAAUUUAAGGCAUCCACACAUGUCCAUUGAGCAGAGUGGAGACAAAGAUGUCUCUCCCGCUGCUGUGUCCGGGAACACAGCUGCCCACACACGCCCACCACACCCCCGGAUCAGAGCCUGCCACUGAUAUCCACGGUGUGAAAGGGCUUGGAACCCACUGUCAUCGUUAUCACCAUCCCUCGACCCCAAGAAGCCAACACCAUGAGCUUGCAAAGGCACUCCAACAGGAACGCUCACUUGUGUUCCCAGGAAUACACACAGACGCCAGAUAUUUACUUCUGGUUCCAACUUCUCCUGGGUUCAUCCUCUUUCAAGUCCUGGAAACUCUGGGCACCACUUCUUGCCCUACAAUCCCUCCGUCAGAUCCCCCCAUCGCCCACUCUCCCAGGAAGCUCCCCCACCUGGACACCUCCAAAUCCUCCUCAAAGCCCUCUCUGACUCCCCCUCUUCCCGGCCUUCUCGCUGGCCUCUUUACACUAAUUUCCUGCUAGAACGAUCAUAAUGGGUUCAAAUGCUGCCGCUUGCACACCUAUCUCCCCCGUCACGGGGCAGGUUGUGGGAGCAGGGCGCAGGGCUGAUGUACCCCCUUACCUCCAGCCCCUCAGCAUGGGCCCGGGCACAUGGGUGGGGGGUGGAGUAGGGCCUCAAAGAAGCAUGAUCUAAAUCCCUGGGCUCUGUUUUCCUCCAACUUAGAGUGUAGUGAAAGAGCUCUAAUGACAAAGAAGGUAAAUUCUAGGUAUUCUGAACAGAGACCAGGCCAUCCUUUCCUGAGUACUUCACAGCGAAGCCAAGACCUCACUGGUGAGUAACUGUCAACUGCCCAACAGUGGGAGUGAAGAAAUUUCCCAGGAGAGAGAGAGUCACAGACAAAUGUUGUAAGGAGGGAGGGAGCAACUUGUGUAAGGACCGAAAGGCCAGUGGUGCCUCAGCAAAGCAAUGGGGCGAUGGGCAAGUGUUCAUGGAUUAUGCGUAUCGGUUAGGUUAGGAUGGGUUACGCUGCGUAACACACAAUCCUCUAAAUCUCAGUGGCCUACAAUAAAGUUUCUUUAUGUCUCAGACUACAUGCACAUGUGGCUCUCCUUCGUCUCCUCUCCCCUCUGGACUCAGGUUGACAGAGCAGUCUGUCUCUAUCUGGAAUAUUGCCAUUGUCGUGGAAAAAGGAAAAGAAAAGUGGUAAAUUACUCACUG
This is a long non-coding RNA of Felis catus (domestic cat), 4283 nucleotides long. RefSeq lists it as uncharacterized. The record is from RefSeq and is a predicted model, not a curated record. NCBI's taxonomy places the organism in Eukaryota, Metazoa, Chordata, Mammalia, Carnivora, Felidae. The transcript is spliced from 3 exons.